GACGAACGCUGGCGGCGUGCCUAAUACAUGCAAGUAGAACGCUGAAGAGAGGAGCUUACUCUUCUUGGAUGAGUUGCGAACGGGUGAGUAACGCGUAGGUAACCUGCCUUGUAGCGGGGGAUAACUAUUGGAAACGAUAGCUAAUACCGCAUAACAAUGGAUGACACAUGUCAUUUAUUUGAAAGGGGCAAUUGCUCCACUACAAGAUGGACCUGCGUUGUAUUAGCUAGUAGGUGAGGUAAUGGCUCACCUAGGCGACGAUACAUAGCCGACCUGAGAGGGUGAUCGGCCACACUGGGACUGAGACACGGCCCAGACUCCUACGGGAGGCAGCAGUAGGGAAUCUUCGGCAAUGGGGGCAACACUGACCGAGCAACGCCGCGUGAGUGAAGAAGGUUUUCGGAUCGUAAAGCUCUGUUGUAAGUCAAGAACGGGUGUGAGAGUGGAAAGUUCACACUGUGACGGUAGCUUACCAGAAAGGGACGGCUAACUACGUG
This 497-nucleotide ribosomal RNA is filed under the name uncultured bacterium. RNAcentral's name for it is "partial 16S ribosomal RNA". It matches the Rfam family "Bacterial small subunit ribosomal RNA", at positions 28 to 507 of the family's 1533-position model. The record is from RNAcentral.